Molecule: long non-coding RNA, 452 nt
Organism: Scomber japonicus (chub mackerel)
Lineage: Eukaryota; Metazoa; Chordata; Actinopteri; Scombriformes; Scombridae
Exons: 3
Source: RefSeq, a predicted model, not a curated record
GGCAGAUACGGAGGUCCACAGACAGCAGCGGCGUGUAGAGUGCAGCAUGCAGACUGGCCAUUGACGCUGCUGUUGGAUUGAACACACAUGCACAGACACACACACACACAGACACACACACGCCUGAGGAGUGUAUGAGACAUGCCCAGGCUGCUGUCCAUGGACACACACACACUGGCAGGGCACCAGAGAGGAAAUACAGCAGAACCCCGAGCUUGAGGAGCUAUGGAGAGCAGCAUGUUCUUUGGUAACACAUGUCAAAAUGGCCUCAUGCCUGCCCUGAUGCGUCCCACCCUGCCUGCCAUCCAGACCUCACUGGGCAUGAAGCAGUUUCUCCCGUUUCCGUUGGAUACGGCCUCAGCGGUCAGCCUCUUCCCAGGAUUCAACACUAUGGAUCCGGUGCAGAAGGCCGUCCUCCAUCACACCCUCGGGCUCCCUCCCACCGCCAAGAG